GUGGGGUAAUUUUCCGCAAUGGGCGAAAGCCUGACGGAGCAAUGCCGCGUGGAGGUGGAAGGCCUACGGGUCGUCAACUUCUUUUCUCGGAGAAGAAACAAUGACGGUACCUGAGGAAUAAGCAUCGGCUAACUCUGUGCAAG
This 143-nucleotide ribosomal RNA is filed under the name uncultured bacterium. Its description in RNAcentral is "partial 16S rRNA". It matches the Rfam family "Bacterial small subunit ribosomal RNA", at positions 353 to 511 of the family's 1533-position model. The record is from RNAcentral.